UUGAAUCUUCGGAGGAUUUGUUGGGCGUCGAGCGGCGGACGGGUGAGUAAUGCCUAGGAAAUUGCCUUGAUGUGGGGGAUAACCAUUGGAAACGAUGGCUAAUACCGCAUAAUGCCUACGGGCCAAAGAGGGGGAUCUUCGGACCUCUCGCGUCAAGAUAUGCCUAGGUGGGAUUAGCUAGUUGGUGAGGUAAUGGCUCACCAAGGCGACGAUCCCUAGCUGGUCUGAGAGGAUGAUCAGCCACACUGGAACUGAGACACGGUCCAGACUCCUACGGGAGGCAGCAGUGGGGAAUAUUGCACAAUGGGCGAAAGCCUGAUGCAGCCAUGCCGCGUGUAUGAAGAAGGCCUUCGGGUUGUAAAGUACUUUCAGUUGUGAGGAAGGGGGUAACGUUAAUAGCGUUAUCUCUUGACGUUAGCAACAGAAGAAGCACCGGCUAACUCCGUGCCAGCAGCCGCGGUAAUACGGAGGGUGCGAGCGUUAAUCGGAAUUACUGGGCGUAAAGCGCAUGCAGGUGGUUCAUUAAGUCAGAUGUGAAAGCCCGGGGCUCAACCUCGGAACUGCAUUUGAAACUGGUGAACUAGAGUGCUGUAGAGGGGGGUAGAAUUUCAGGUGUAGCGGUGAAAUGCGUAGAGAUCUGAAGGAAUACCAG
This 652-nucleotide ribosomal RNA is filed under the name Vibrio sp. Its description in RNAcentral is "bacterial SSU rRNA". It matches the Rfam family "Bacterial small subunit ribosomal RNA", at positions 67 to 712 of the family's 1533-position model. Lineage: Bacteria; Pseudomonadati; Pseudomonadota; Gammaproteobacteria; Vibrionales; Vibrionaceae. The record is from RNAcentral.